Molecule: ribosomal RNA, 468 nt
Filed under: uncultured bacterium
Lineage: Bacteria
Description: partial 16S ribosomal RNA
Rfam family: Bacterial small subunit ribosomal RNA
Source: RNAcentral
GACGAACGCUGGCGGCGUGCUUAACACAUGCAAGUCGAACGGAAAGGCCCUGCUUUUGUGGGGUGCUCGAGUGGCGAACGGGUGAGUAACACGCGAGUAACCUGCCCUUGACUUUGGGAUAACUUCAGGAAACUGGGGCUAAUACCGGAUAGGAGCUCCUGCUGCAUGGUGGGGGUUGGAAAGUUUCGGCGGUUGGGGAUGGACUCGCGGCUUAUCAGCUUGUUGGUGGGGUGGUGGCUUACCAAGGCUUUGACGGGUAGCCGACCUGAGAGGGUGACCGGCCACAUUGGGACUGAGAUACGGCCCAGACUCCUACGGGAGGCAGCAGUGGGGAAUAUUGCACAAUGGGCGGAAGCCUGAUGCAGCAACGCCGCGUGCGGGAUGACGGCCUUCGGGUUGUAAACCGCUUUCGCCUGUGACGAAGCGUGAGUGACGGUAAUGGGUAAAGAAGCACCGGCUAACUACGUG